Molecule: ribosomal RNA, 372 nt
Filed under: uncultured prokaryote
Description: bacterial SSU rRNA
Rfam family: Bacterial small subunit ribosomal RNA
Source: RNAcentral
GACGGAGGGGGCUAGCGUUGUUCGGAAUUACUGGGCGUAAAGCGUGCGUAGGCGGUCUUUCAAGUUGGGUGUGAAAGCCCGGGGCUCAACCCCGGAAAUGCGCCCAAGACUGUUUGGCUAGAGACCCGGAGAGGUGAGUGGAACUCCCAGUGUAGAGGUGAAAUUCGUAGAUAUUGGGAAGAACACCAGUGGCGAAGGCGGCUCACUGGACGGGUACUGACGCUGAGGCACGAAAGCGUGGGGAGCAAACAGGAUUAGAUACCCUGGUAGUCCACGCCGUAAACUAUGAGAGCUAGACGUUGGGGGGCUUGCCUCCCUGUGUCGCAGCUAACGCGUGAAGCUCUCCGCCUGGGGAGUACGGCCGCAAGGUUA